RNAcentral lists this ribosomal RNA (291 nucleotides) under uncultured bacterium. RNAcentral describes it as "partial 16S ribosomal RNA". It matches the Rfam family "Bacterial small subunit ribosomal RNA", at positions 505 to 796 of the family's 1533-position model. The record is from RNAcentral.
GUGUCAGCAGCCGCGGUAAUACGUAGGGGGCAAGCGUUGUCCGGAAUUAUUGGGCGUAAAGCGCGCGCAGGCGGUUGUUUAAGUCUGGUGUUUAACCCUCGGGCUCAACCUGGGGUCGCACCGGAUACUGGGCAACUGGAGUGCAGGAGAGGAAAGUGGAAUUCCACGUGUAGCGGUGAAAUGCGUAGAGAUGUGGAGGAACACCAGUGGCGAAGGCGACUUUCUGGCCUGUAACUGACGCUGAGGCGCGAAAGCGUGGGGAGCAAACAGGAUUAGAUACCCUAGUAGUCC